Molecule: long non-coding RNA, 11704 nt
Filed under: Nicotiana tabacum (common tobacco)
Lineage: Eukaryota; Viridiplantae; Streptophyta; Magnoliopsida; Solanales; Solanaceae
Description: long non-coding RNA (NTAB_LNC011817)
Source: RNAcentral
CAGUUACGUAGAUCCAUUUGUGUAGCUGCAAAAUGGAAAACCUGGUAAAGUUGAGGAAGGAAAUGGUUUAUCUAGCGUAUUACUAUCAAGAGGACAAUUAUCAUAACACUAAUACUAUAUCCGAUUAUCCAGAGGCGGAGUCAGGAUUUGAAGCUAAUGGGUUCGAGAUUCUAUUCCUUCUAAGUUACUGAGUUCUAAAUUAAUAAUUCUUAUAUAUUCAAUGAAUUUUUAAAGACAAAUGUAGAGUUUAGAUCAAAACUACUGGGUUCAGCUGAACCCGUGUCCGAAGCUCUAGCUCCGGCCCUGCGAUUAUCUAUCCCUCGUUGACAGCUUUCUCAAGGAGUGCUCCAAUGCAGCUAAGGAGUUUGAUAAGUAUAUAUGUUCUCUCUUUCUUCUCCAAAUAUAUAAUCUUUUGACAAAUCAAGUAUACUCUUGAUUUUUGUUAUUAUAUGUGUAUUUUCCCUUUUUUAUUUCUUUUCUUUUGGAUAUAUUGGUGCUUCCCCUAUAAUAAGAUCUGGCACAGUACGAAUCCAGAUUAGUCGGACCAAUAGAUAUGUCGAACAAAGAGCAGACGCACGUUUGACGAAGCAGUGUCUCGGAAAAUUAUACUAAAUAUAUGUAUUAAUAUUGUGAGGACGGUUAAGUAUAGGAAAAAAUAACACCACUUCGGCUAGAUUGUCUCGUGGCAUGUCAGUUAUGUUCUUGAUUUUGCUCUAAGUAUAGGAAAAAAAUGAUACCAAUGGACUAAGGCUAUUUCUUAUAUAGAAAUAUAAUAAUUAAAGUUACUAAUUCUCGUUCUUCUAUAAAUUUUGAUACCUCAUACAACAGUUCCUGCGUACGCCCUGUGUCGGACAGUGAUAUUUGUUGUUGAAUGUGUGCAUGACUCUUUGGAAAAUGACUCUAACACAAGGAUUUGAAUGAUAUGACCCACAACCUUCACCCGCACUACGUGUUUAAAAAUACUCCAGGCAUGGGAGAUUGUUCAACUGCAGAGGAGAUGAAGCAAUUACUAUCAAAACAUGGGAUUUCUUUUGGCCAUGUAAAAAAGCCUAUGUUAAUCAUCCAACUAGAUUUUGUGUAUGUUAAGCAUAUUUGGUUUUGUUGGAUUGAUCAAAUUUCUCUUUGAUUUCUGAAUUUGAUUUAACAUUUUUUGCUAAGCCAUUUGAAAUACAUUUGCAGAGUGAGGUUGAAAUACUAACAGAUGAAAACCGGCAUCCAUGUUUGAUGAAGUUAAAGGGUUCUGUUUUCAAUAUAAAUGUUUACCCGGAAAAUCGGAUAGAGUUGAAUUUGUACGCAGUUCUAAGGGUAUGUGGUACAACUUGAUACAAAAUCGUAAAAAGAAAUAGAAAUAUAUAAUCUUGACUAUAAGAAUGAAAGAUAAAAACGGUGGAAAGGAGAAAAAUGGUUGAACUAGAUAAGAUGAAGUAAAAGAGCUCAAAGGAUUGAUCUUUCAAUAUGAGAAGUAGUCUUUUGUUACAAUGUGUGAAUGUCUUGAUGCUUACAGAAACAAUAAUCAUCUCUUUUAUAGUGGAGGGAUCCCACUUUAGAUAUAAUAAAAAAUACAUAGUGGAGAACCCAUGAUGAAUUAGUUUUUCUCUAAUUCCCGCCAGGAUUCUCUCCCCUAGUGCGGUUGCAACGGUUCUUGUCUGUGAGCUCGAUAUUGAUUCGAGCUUGGUACUGACUCGAGCCCUCGAUCUUGAAUCGAGCUCGAUUCUGACUCGGAGUCCGGUAUUGAUUCGGGGUCGGUGCCGGUCGGUCUAUGCGUCUUAAGCUCGAAAACUUCGCUUUGCCUCGUAGUUUGAUUUGGAUACGAGCUCGAUAAUGAUACCGAGCUUUGUCAUUGAACGGUCUUAGAACUCGAAGCUUGAUGACCUUACUUCGGACCUCAACCUGAUAUUACGCAGACGCCCUUCGAUCAAAGUAUUAUCAUCUCAAUUAGUCCGUACGACGGACUAAUUGGUUUUGACCGUAUACAGAUAGUUCCCUCGUUUCUCGGGAAGGAUGUAACGAGAAAUGAUAUAAUUUUCCAACGGCAUGAUUAGAUAUAUACUGAAGUUUGCAUCGAGUUCGAUCGUGACGUACGUGAAAGUUGUCCCGUCGGUUCAGUUUACCGAGGUAUUUAAUGUGUGUCAGAUGAUGGUCGGCCAUUACCGAUAUUGAACCGCCACCACCCCCUUUUUCACCAUUAAUCACUUUUACAUCUUCUGAUAUCAAAAUUUUCUAAGCAUUUUAUCAUACCUUCUGAAUUUGUUUGUGAGUGUGAAACUUUCCUUCAGUGGUUUUUACUGCAAAAUAUUUCUUUGAAACACCAUAUCUUCUUUAUUUCCUUCUUCUAAACUCAAAAAAUGGUAAAAACAUCAAAAAAUAUUCCCCAAAAAGGAAGAGGUUUCUUCUUCACAGCCCGCCGAUAAAACACCGGUGGAGCCACGACCUGAGGAGUUCGUUCCCGGAAUGUGUCUUCUCACCUCCGAUUUUAAGGUAGACAAAGGCUCGUUGGUUCCCGGUUGGUGUGAGCCGGUAUCGAGGUAUUUAUGUUCGGUAACCAAAAAGCAACUUGCACAGUUAAAGACACAUUGCAACUGAGAUGUGAAGGAAGUGGUAAUUCCGGCUCCCGACGAAGAUAUUACCACCUACGUGGAAGGGUUCUUAAGUGUGUAUACUUACUUUUUUACAUUAGGACCUUUCGACCCUGUUAUCAUCGAUUUCUGUCGUCAAUAUCACAUAACUCUAGGCCAGAUUCAUCCUUCAUUUUGGCAGAUCGUUAUUCUGAUCUGUUUCUUUGCAAACAAGAUCGAAGGGAUGCCUUUCACCCUCGACCAUCUUAUUAGAUUGUAUAGACCCUGCCUCUUUCGAGGUGGAUUAAUAAAAUUUCAACGCCGGGCUACCAAGGUACUGUUCUCGAGCAUAGACGAGGACAAGGAUCGAGGUUGGAUGAGCAGGUUCAUUCAAGUGAAGACUUUGGAUCUGAUCCCAGACGAAAAGAUGCCAUUCCCCGAAAAAUGGAAUAUGAAGCGUAAGUGUAAUUCUGCUGUUUUAUUCCCUAUCGUCUUGUUUCUUUGUUUCUUUCUUGUUGAUAUCUUUUUUGUGAUGCAACGGUUCCUUGGAUGCCCGGUGCUGUUUCCGACCUUAAGAGCUGGGUACGGGCCCUGGCUUUGACCUCUACAUACGCCGAACGUUCGUGACGUGAUUUGGCAAAGGGCCGAUGGGAGGCCAAAAAUCAUGGUAAGCCUAUUUCUCAUGUCUUUGAGAGUUCGAAAGAAAUAUUUUCCACAUAUUCAACCAAUUUUCUUGUGUGUAGGCGUGGGUAGAGAUGCGAUUUUGAGGCCUCUGUCCGGCGAGGAAGAAGCCUCGGCCCCGGUUUCUAAACCGGUGAAGAGCAAUAAGAGAAAAAUGGACUCUACUUUCGAAAAUCCAAAAUCGAAGGCAAGGUCGACUCGUAAGACGAGGAAGAAUACCAUCCCUUUGACCUUAGAAUCAGUUCAGCGUCUAAGGGAUGAAGACGAGGAAAAAGAAGAUGACAGGUCCGUACUGGUGGCCCGAGUAAAGAAAACCACUGAUGCUCCACAGGCAGCUGGAUUGAUGGUGGUUUAUAAGGUUCCGCCUCGAACUGAGGAUGUAUCGGAGAAAGAUUUGGGCAGAGUCCCCGAGUCGUUGGAGAUCGAGGAUGCUUCCCAUCGAAGCCAACAUAUUGGGAAUAUAUCUGAAGGGGCUGUCCCCGAAUCUCUUCGAACCGAAGAGAAUGCCCCAAGUGAUUCACUUAGGGCAGUAGCAAUCGAAGACUCGCCCACCUUCCCUGCCUUUUCCGAAGGGGCGAUACGGGAAGCCCAAGCUUUAGGAGCCCUCGAACUAGACAGGCCUCAUGAGGGAGAUGACCCUUUUUGUGACCUGUUUACCGGUGUCGAGGACGUUGCCAGCACUAGCGAUGCAUCAGAUCUUUUUCACGGAGUGCAGCAGGCUUUGAAUCAGGUAAGCCUUAAAUCUUUAUAUUUGUUUUUUUUUUACCUAUUUACCUGUAAUACCUUUAUGCUUGUUUUUCUUUUCUUACUUCAUUUCUUCUUUCUUCGUAGGUCAUGGAAGCUCAUCGAAAAGCAUGUUCUCGUUCCUGAACUGAGCUGCGUCGAUACAAGGCUGACCUCCAACGGGUCACGGAGGAGAGAAAUGCCCUUAAACUCCUCUUAGGGUAAAGGGGAGAGGAAAUCAAGGACUUCCGAGCUGAGUUAGCUAAAGCUCACCAAGAUCAGACCGAUCUGACCGAGCAGGUAAUGAUACUUUUAAAAGGCUAUGGGCUCGAUACUGGAGCGAUGGUUAAUCUUUUAGUCUCACAGCUGCAGUAGAAUAUUGAGAUAAUCGGGAAACUCCGUGAGGAGGUCGAUGAGACAAAGGCGGAGUCCUUAAAGUGGAAAGAAAGUAUGGACCGCUUUGCUGCAGAGAGAGAGGCUGCUCGAGCCCAAUUAUCAUCGGCCAAAGGUCAACUUCAAAGUCUGAAGGAGAAAAUCUUGGUUCAAGCAAGAAAAAUAGAGGAACUCGAGGCUCGGUUGGCUUCUGAAAUUGCCAAGGCCGAAAAGACAAAGGUCGAUGCAGAUGCAUUUGUGGCUGUUUAUCUAGCCGAUACUGAAAUUUCUCAAUUACAUGCAAGAGAGGAAGCCGAGACCGCUCAAACUCGAGCACAUUGGAUUGCUGAACUUGCCAAAUGCCAAUAUCGAAGGGAAACCCUCGAGGAGAUCCAUGCUCGAGGCUUCGAUCUUACUGAAGAGAUAACAAAGGCAAGAGAGUUUGAAGCCGAUGCUGGGGCCUUGGUCUCCGAUGAUUAUGAUGAUGAUGAUGACGAUGAUGGGAGAAAGAGCGGGUCUCAGAGUAGGGAGGAGCCCGAUGGAGAAAAGACUACUCCCGUUGAUAAUUAGGGUUUCAGUCCUGAUCGAACGCUUUGUAAACAUCAUCAUAUAUAUAAAGGUCUUUUCUUUUCCCAACUUGUCUCUGUUUUCUUUUCUGCCUAUUGAAGGUUUUGUUUUACUUGUGCCUUUUGAAAAUGUUCAUAAGUUUGAGGCUUUAGGCAAUUUUGAUUGAAUUCGUACUUUGUAGUCUUUAUAACUAAGUGAGUACUUGCUUGAACUCGAAGUACGAGUGGCUCUUAGGCUUUAUAGUUGAGUGAGUGAUUGCUCGAACUCGAAGUAUCGUAGCCCGUAGGCUUUAUGGUCGAGUGAGUGAUUGCUCGAACUCGAAGUAAGAUAGCCUGUAGGCUUUAUGGUCAUGAACUUAGCUUUACCUGGGGCUGAUGGUAGAGGGCCGAUGAUAUCCAUCCCCCAUUUCAUGAAUGGCCAUGAGGAUAGAAUUGAAUAAAGUUGUUCUCCGGGUUGAUGGAUCAUCGGUGCAAACCUUUGACAUUUAUCAUAUUUUCGAACAAACUCCUUAGUGUCCUUUUCCAUGCUAUCCCAGUAAUAUCCUGCUCUGAUUAUUUUGUGAAUCAGUGGUUCGGCGCCGGAGUGGUUACCACAAGUGCUUUCAUGGACCUCUCGUAAAACAUAAUCGGUGUCUCCUGGUCCCAAGCAUACUGCCAAUGGUCCAUCGAACGUCCUUCUGUAUAAUGUUCCAUCUUCAGCCAAUGUGAAUCGAGCAACUUUGGUUCGUAGGGCCCUUGAUUCUUUAGGGUUAGAUGGGAUUUUUUUCGUUCUUCAAAUAUUCAAUAUACUUAUUCCUAUAAUCCCAGGUUAAACUUGUGGAAUUUAUCUCAGCAUGCCCCUCCUCGAUUAUGGAUCCCGAGAGUUGAACGAUAGUCCCAGAGUCGAUCUCAUCUUCCUUAACCGAUGACCCCAAAUUUGUGAGUGCAUCGGCUUCACUGUUUUGUUCUCGAGGCACAUGUUGUAAAGUCUAUUCCUUGAAACGGUGCAAAGUUACCUGCAAUUUGUCCAAAUACAUUUGCAUUCUAUCUUCUCGAACUUCGAAGGUUUUGUUUAAUUGGUUCACCACUAGUAAAGAGUCACAUUUGUCUUCAAUGACUUCUGCUCCCAAGCUUUUAGCUAGCUCGAGACCUGCAAUCAUGGCCUCGUACUCGGCCUCAUUGUUAUUCAACUUAGAAGUUUUGAUAGAUUGCCUAAUAAUGCCACCCGUGGGGGGUUUCAACACGAUGCCAAGCCCGGACCCCUUCACAUUCAAAGCACCAUCUGUGAAGAGGGUCCAAACCCCCGAUGAUGUACCUGAUUUUAGCAAGAGUUCUUUUUCAACUUCGGGUACGAGGGUUGGCGUGAAAUCGGCCACGAAGUCCGCUAAAAUUUGAGACUCGAUGGUCGUACGGGGUUGAUAUUCGAUAUCGUACCUGCUGAAUUCGAUGACCCAUUUGACCAAUCAGCCCGAUAGUUUGGGCUUGUGUAAAAUAUUACGAAGUGGGUAAGUGGUCAAAACGCAUAUGGGGUGACAUUGAAAGUAUAGUCUUAACUUCCUAGAGGCACUUAUCAGUGCAAGUGCCAAUUUAUCUAAGUGUGGAUAUCUAGUCUCUGCUUCUCCUAAGGUCCUACUUACAUAAUAAACAGGAAAUUACGUACCUUGCUCUUCUCAAACUAGGACGCCACUUACCGCAAUUUUCGAUACCGCCAAGUAUAAGUAAAGUUUCUCAUCUGUCUUCGGAGUGUGAAUCAGUGGUGGGCUCGACAAGUAUCGUUUCAAUUGUUCUAAUGUAUGUUGGCAUUCUGGGGUCCAUGCGAAAUUGUUCUUCUUUUUUGAGUAGAGAGAAGAAUCUGGGGCUUCGAUCCGACGACCUCGAAAUGAAUCGACCUAAGGCAGCUAUCCGUCCGGUUAGCAUCUGCACUUCUUUUACACUAUCUACGAUGGUGAUGUCUUUGAUAGCCUUGAUUUUACCGGGGUUGAUCUCGAUUCCCCGAUUCGAUACCAUAAAGUUAAGGAACUUACCCGAACCAACCCCGAAAGCACAUUUUUCGGGGUUGAGCUUUAUGUUAUAUUUCCUUAAAAUCUCAAACGUCUCCUGCAAAUGAGUCAAAUGGUCCUCUGCGCGUAGGGACUUAACUAGCAUGUCAUCAAUAUAAACUUCUAUUGACUUACCUAUUUGUUCUUCGAACAUUUUAUUCACUAGGCGUUGGUAAGUAGCUCCUGCAUUUUUUAGCCCGAAGGGCAUUAUAUUAUAACAAUAUGUUCCAUACUUAGUGAUAAAUGAAGUCUUUUCUCGGUCCUCCGGGUUUAUUUGAAUUUGAUUGUACCCGAAAUAGGCAUCGAGAAAAGUAAGGAUCUCGUGGACGGUUGUGGCAUCGAUCAUGCGAUCGAUGUUAGGCAGUGGAAAAGAAUCUUUGGGGCAUGCCUUGUUUAGAUAUUUAUAAUCUACACAUAUUCUAAGUUUGUUCCCCUUUUUAGGGACUACAACUACACUGGCUAACUAUUCGGGAUAUUUUAUUUCCCGAAUCGACCCUAUUUUGAGAAGUUUAGUUACCUCGUCCUUUAUGAAUGCGUGCUUUAACUCGGACUGAGGUCUUCUUUUUUGCUUCACCGGUUUGAACCUAGGGUCCAAGCUCAACCGGUGUAUUGUUAUCGACGGUGGGAUUCCUGCCAUGUCUAAAUGGGACCAAUCAAUGCAAUCUAUGUUAUCAAUAAGAAAUUAAAUAAGUUUUUUCCUGAGUUCGGGGGUCAAUCCCGUUCCCAGGUAUACCUUUCUCUAGGGCAGAUGCUCGAUCAAUAUAACCUAAAUGAUAUGUUGAGGUUACUCUUGUUCAUCUUUUCUAUUGGUGUCCCUUUCUCUGAAGUGAUUCUUGGCUCGAUCGCUGAGGAACUCUCGAAGGUGGCCCUCGUUGAAUAGACGGGCUACUUCCUCCCUUAAUUGCCUGCAAUCCUCGGUCUUGUGGCCAUGCGUACCAUGGUAUUUGCACAUUGAAUUCGGGUUUCUUUGGGAAGGAUUGGUUUGCAUGGGUUUGGGCCACCAAGUAUCUUUGAUUCUUCUGAUUGCCGAUACAAUGCCCGAUGCAUCGACGCUGAAGUUAUAUUCCGAUAACUGAGGUGCCUCUAUAGGAUCAACAUAUUUGUCAAAAUCACUCUUGCUCAUAAGUCCCCGAGAAUUUUGUCCUCGAUCACUUCUUUGAUUGUUUCGGGCGUAAUUGCGUCCCGAACCAUUGUUCCUUCGAUCUGCAAUAUAUGGUUGAUAUCGAUCUCUGUUCGACCUUGGCUCUCUGUCGAUGUCCCUUUGGAUUUUAAUAGCCAACCUGUUUGGAUGUACUAAUCCGGAAUGAGCUCCUAAUUGGUCAUCUUCGACCUUGAUUUUUGAUUGGUAUCGAUUGUGCACAUCUGCCCAAGUUAUCACUGGAUACUCAAUCAAAUUUUAUUUCACCCGACAUGAUGCUAUCGAACUUCGCACGUUCAACACUUAGGUGAAAGCUUGAACGGCCCAAUCGUCUGUGACUGGUGGUAAUUCCAUGCGUUCCAUUUAAAACCGGGACACGAACUCCCUCAGCAUUUCAUUAUCUUUUUGUUUUACUUUGAAAAGUUUCGAUUUCCUUGUUGCAACUUUUAUGGCACCAACGUGUGCCUUUACAAAAGAAUCUGCUAACAUGGCAAAUGAGUCGAUGGAAUUCAGUGGCAGGUUGUGAUACCAAAUCAUUGCUCCCUUCGAGAGGGUCUCUCCAAAUUUUUUUAACAACACAAAUUUGAUUUCGUUAUCUUCUAAAUCGUUCCCCUUGAUGGCACAUGUGUAAGAGGUGACGUAUUAGUUGGGGUCUGUCGUUCCGUUAUAUUUGGGAAUUUGGGGGUUGGUUUUUGGGCUACACUCGAAGGAAAAGGCUUUUGCACGAAUUUUUUGGAAUCCAACCCUUUUAUCAUUGGUGGAGCCCCCGGGAUCUGAUCGACCCUGGAGUUAUAUGUUUCUACUUUUUUAUCGUUAGCUUCGAUCCGCUUUAUGAGCUCCUCGAGUAUCUUAGCAAUUUCGGGAGUAGUCCCCGAUUCUUGCUCAUUUGACCUCAUUAUAGCUGGCUUCGUUCUGUGGGCAAUAUCUCGAGGUGAACCAGGCUGCGGCCUGCUUGGCACUUGGGUUUGGCUUUGCAACUUAGCUAUCGCUACCUGUUGGGCUUGCAGCAUUUCAAAAAUCAUACGCAAGCUGACUCUGUUUUCCUCGGCGUUAUGGGUGUCUCGAGCUGCAGAUCGAGUGCCACCAUGAAUGCUAUUUUCGAACGUUGGUUUUCCUCAAGGGCCACAUGCGAAUUAACGUCCAGUGGUACUUAGACUCGAGCUUCAGGUACUCCGGCUCGAGCUUCUACGGCAUCGAUAAGCGGCUUUCUGGACCUGGGCGUCAUGUUGUUGGUUUCAUCUUGAAGGCCAGCUUCGUUAUCGAUAGGUAAAGCCAUUAAUUGAGGGUUUUCCAUUGCUAAUUCUGAAGUCAAAAAUACUUUCAAAAGACAAGCAUAAAACGGUGUGUGUUGCAGACUUGUAUCAAAUAACCACUUUUAUCCUUAGCCCCACGGUGGGUGCCAAACUGUUUACCCAGAAAAUCGGAUAGAGUUGAAUUUGUACGCAGUUCUAAGGGUAUGUGGUACAACUUGAUACAAAAUCGUAAAAAGAAAUAGAAAUAUACAAUUUUGACUAUAAGAAUGAAAGAUAAAAACGAUAGAAAGGAGAAAAAUGGUUGAACUAGAUAAGAUGAAGUAAAAGAGCUCAAAUGAUUGAUCUUUCAAUAUGAGAAAUAGUCUUUUGUUACAAUGUGUGAAUGUUUUGAUGCUUACAGAAACAAUAAUCAUCCUUUUUAUAGUGGAGGGAUCCCACUUUAGAUAUAAUAAAAAAUACAUAUUGGGGAACCCAUGAUGAAUUAGUUUUUCCCUAAUUUUCGUCAGGAUUCUCUCCCCUAGUGCGGUUGUAACGGCUCUUGUCUGUGAGCUCGAUAUUGAUUCAAGCUCGAUACUGACUCGAGCCCUUGAUCUUGACUCGAGCUCGAUUCUAAUUCGGAGUCCGGUAUUGAUUCGAGGUCGGUGCUGGUCGGUCUAUGCGUCUUAAGCUCGACAAUUUCACUUUGCCUCGUAGUUCGAUUUGGAUACGAGCUCGAUAAUGAUACCGAGCUUUGUCAUUAAUCGGUCUUAGAACUCGAAGCUUGAUGAUCUUACUUCGGACCUUAACCUGAUAUUACGCAGACGCCCUUCGAUCAAAGUAUUAUCAUCUCGAUCAGUCCGUACGACGGACUAAUUGGUUUUGACCGUAUACAUAAACUUGCAGUUGUUUAUGAUGAAAAACCAGAUAAAUAUUUGUCGGACGUGCUUCGUUCUGGUAUUUGAUCAGCUAUUUGAAGAAAUCUUCACCUGUUAUAGUUUGGUGGCUACUAAAUUUAGUAGUUUUGUGUGUUUUGAUUUUGACUUAUCAUUUGUUUCUUGGGUAGGCGAAGACUUUGGAUGGGAUGAUAGAAUGAAGAUAGCAACUCAAACUUGCAAUCCUUUUCACAUGGUUGCAUGAGAGACAAUUUGCAUUUGGUGGUAUGGAACCUUAGAGCAUAAUGAUUGUUAAGGUAACAACUAAUCAGAGGCGGAUCCGGGAUUUAAAGUUUAUGAAUUCGUACAACGACCUCAUGUUAAUAUGCAAUAAUAAUUGUGUUUACUAUUAAAUAUUAUAGAUAUUUAGUCAACUUUUUAAUACAAAUACAGGAUUUGAGAAAAAGGUAGUAGGUUUACGUGAACCCUUAACUUAUAAGCUAGGUCUACCCCUACAGUUGAACCCCAUAGACGACCUUCUCGUUGACGUUUUACAAGUUACUAUUUCAUUGGCUUGUAGGGGCGUAGGUAGGUGGAUGCAAGGGGGUUCGAUUGAAUCCUCUUCGCCUGAAAAUUAUACUGUGAAGUAUGCUAAAAUGAAAAUUUUCUGUAUAAUGAUAUAAAUUGUUACUUCCCCUAGCAUUACAAAAGCUUAUGGUGUUGUGCCACGGGGGUUUUAAAAAUUGUUUUAGGUUGCAAGAUCAAAUUAUAGGUGUGACGAUCUAGUACUUUUUGAAUCCCCUUAUAUGAAUUCCUAGCUCCGGUACUAUUUGCAGGACUUCAACAUAAAAGUAUUGAACUUUGGUUUCCUGGUUCGUGUAAAGGAUGAGAAUAACGGAGUACUUACCAUUCCUUAUUUGAAUCUCCCUUAUGCUCCAGAGGUUUUUGAGGGUACAAGGGUCUAUUGUACUCAGCCUUACCUUGCAUUUCUGCGAUAGAUUGUUUCCACAGCUCGAACCCGUGAACUCCUGAUCAUAUGACAACAACUUUAUCAGUUACGCCUAGGCUCCCCUUCACUUUAUAUGAUCAAACAGUUUCUUAAUAUGAAUAUACUAAGCCUUUUGGGUUGUCUGUAGACCCCCCAAAGAGUGCUGGUUAUAAAGACCAAAGGAGAUCUCUUGAUGUUUCUGUGUACAUUGAAUUUUUGUGCCUGAAUUAUGUAUCUGCACUUAUUAGUUGUUCUCUGACAAUUCCUUUUGGAUACAGAUAUCUGAUAUUCCACGCGGACAGCGUCAAGUUAUGCAUCAUUCGGACAGUAUUCGCAAUGUUCUUGGAAUACCUCUCAUCUUAACAUUAGUAGUUGGUGGCCUGGGAAUCCUUUUGUUUAAGAGCCUGCAACACUGAAACCGAUUCUUUAUCCAAACAUUUUCCGUGUAGAGAUUGUUCAAUUUGUUUGUAUGUAUAUGAUUAAGUGCGUAUUAUCUUCGCAUGAUUUUUGUAAUAUAUUACUUAUUGAUGAUGAAACAGAGAAGUGGUAGUUUUUCGUA